This 57-nucleotide transfer RNA is filed under the name Varanus glebopalma. RNAcentral's name for it is "partial tRNA-His". The record is from RNAcentral. Lineage: Eukaryota; Metazoa; Chordata; Lepidosauria; Squamata; Varanidae.
GUGGACAUAGUUUAAACAAAACAUCAGGCCGUGAACCUGACAACAGAAGCUCACCCC